This 415-nucleotide long non-coding RNA is filed under the name Anas platyrhynchos platyrhynchos (common mallard). Its description in RNAcentral is "lncRNA (ENSAPLG00000018154.1)". The record is from RNAcentral. Lineage: Eukaryota; Metazoa; Chordata; Aves; Anseriformes; Anatidae.
ACCCACCUUUCCCUAAUUCUCCCAUCUUUCUUGGCUUGCUUUCACUCCUUUGCUUCCUCUACUGCCUCCUCCCUUCCAUGUGGCACAGGAGAUGGGGAGCAGGUGUUGCAGUCAGCCCAUAAGAGUUCCUCUCUGCUGCUUCUUCCGCUAAACACUUUUCAGAUAUGUGCAAAGGACGGAAAAGUAAUAAAUCUAUGCUCAUGCAGCAGGAGAGAUCUGGGUUUUUAAUGCAGUAAUAAGAAAAUAUGCCAGCCAGUGACACUCUGAAAAAAAAUCCCCUCAAGGAACUGCAACUACAGAGCUCAGGGCACACACCUUCCAGUAACUGUAUUUUAUUUAAGUAGAAUAUACAGACGUCUUUUAAGAUCCCCUUGUUAUAUGUGGCUAAAUAAAUGCAGCUUUUUAAUUAUAUUCA